This 765-nucleotide ribosomal RNA is filed under the name uncultured Streptococcus sp. RNAcentral describes it as "bacterial SSU rRNA". It matches the Rfam family "Bacterial small subunit ribosomal RNA", at positions 28 to 776 of the family's 1533-position model. The record is from RNAcentral. Lineage: Bacteria; Bacillati; Bacillota; Bacilli; Lactobacillales; Streptococcaceae.
GAUGAACGCUGGCGGCGUGCCUAAUACAUGCAAGUAGAACGCUGAAACUUGGUGCUUGCACCGAGCGGAGGAGUUGCGAACGGGUGAGUAACGCGUAGGUAACCUGCCUCUUAGCGGGGGAUAACUAUUGGAAACGAUAGCUAAUACCGCAUAAAAGUCGACAUUGCAUGAUGUUGACUUGAAAGGUGCAACUGCAUCACUAAGAGAUGGACCUGCGUUGUAUUAGCUAGUUGGUGAGGUAACGGCUCACCAAGGCGACGAUACAUAGCCGACCUGAGAGGGUGAUCGGCCACACUGGGACUGAGACACGGCCCAGACUCCUACGGGAGGCAGCAGUAGGGAAUCUUCGGCAAUGGACGGAAGUCUGACCGAGCAACGCCGCGUGAGUGAAGAAGGUUUUCGGAUCGUAAAGCUCUGUUGUAAGAGAAGAACGAGUGUGAGAGUGGAAAGUUCACACUGUGACGGUAACUUACCAGAAAGGGACGGCUAACUACGUGCCAGCAGCCGCGGUAAUACGUAGGUCCCGAGCGUUAUCCGGAUUUAUUGGGCGUAAAGCGAGCGCAGGCGGUUAGAUAAGUCUGAAGUUAAAGGCUGUGGCUUAACCAUAGUACGCUUUGGAAACUGUUUAACUUGAGUGCAGAAGGGGAGAGUGGAAUUCCAUGUGUAGCGGUGAAAUGCGUAGAUAUAUGGAGGAACACCGGUGGCGAAAGCGGCUCUCUGGUCUGUAACUGACGCUGAGGCUCGAAAGCGUGGGGAGCAAACAGG